UGGGGAAUAUUGCACAAUGGGGGAAACCCUGAUGCAGCGACGCCGCGUGAGCGAAGAAGGUCUUCGAAUCUUAAAGCUCUGUCCUAUGAGAAGAUAAUGACGGUAUCAUAGGAGGAAGCCCCGGCUAAAUACGUGCCAGCAGCCGCGGUAAUACGUAUGGGGCGAGCGUUGUCCGGAUUUAUUGGGCGUAAAGCGAGCGCAGGCGGUUAGAAAAGUCUGAAGUGAAAGGCAGUGGCUCAACCAUUGUAGGCUUUGGAAACUGUUUAACUUGAGUGCAGAAGGGGAGGGUGGAAUUCCAUGUGUAGCGGUGAAAUGCGUAGAUAUAUGGAGGAACACCGGUGGCGGAAGCGGCUCUCUGGUCUGUAUCAAACGCUGAGGCUCGAAAGCGUGGGGAGCGAACAGG
This 403-nucleotide ribosomal RNA is filed under the name Verrucomicrobiota bacterium. RNAcentral's name for it is "Verrucomicrobia bacterium partial 16S ribosomal RNA". It matches the Rfam family "Bacterial small subunit ribosomal RNA", at positions 355 to 776 of the family's 1533-position model. Lineage: Bacteria; Pseudomonadati; Verrucomicrobiota. The record is from RNAcentral.